Molecule: ribosomal RNA, 398 nt
Filed under: uncultured bacterium
Lineage: Bacteria
Description: bacterial SSU rRNA
Rfam family: Bacterial small subunit ribosomal RNA
Source: RNAcentral
UGGGGAAUCUUGCACAAUGGGGGCAACCCUGAUGCAGCGACGCCGCGUGAGCGAUGAAGCCCUUCGGGGCGUAAAGCUCUUUCGACCGGAACGAUAAUGACGGUAACGGGAGAAGAAGCUGCGGCUAACUACGUGCCAGCAGCCGCGGUAAUACGUAGGCAGCAAGCGUUGUUCGGAGCUACUGGGCGUAAAGAGUGCGUAGGCGGUUUUCUAAGUUAGGGGUGAAAUCUCCCGGCUUAACUGGGAGGGUGCGCCGAAGACUGGGAAGCUGGAGUGUGGGAGAGGCGGGCGGAAUGCCUGGUGUAGCGGUGAAAUGCGUAGAGAUCAGGAGGAACACCGGCGGUGUAGACGGCUUGCUAGACCAUAACGGACGCUGAGGCACGAAAGCGUGGGUAGCA